AUGUCCGUGUAUCUAUACAAUACUCAGUUUCAGAAACUCGCUCGCUUUGCUAAGCAAGACGUUCCUGAUGAAAAGAGCAUGAUCUAUCAAUUCAGAGGUGGCCUCAGAGAAGAUCUGCAAUUACUUCUCGUGCUUUUUGAGCCGACCAAGUAUGAUGAUUUCUACAAUAUGGCUCUAAAGCAAGAGGCUGCUCAGCUCAAGUGUGAGGCUUCUAAGAAGAGAGUCAGGGAUGCAGUUCAGUCUUCUUCUUCCUCACUAGUGGCUGCUAAGCAACAGAAGUUCUGGUUGCCUCCUCCUCCUCCGUUUCGUCAGCCUUACCAGCAGAAGAACAAAGGUGGCCAUGGAUCUUCCCACCCACCCAACCCUGGCUAUCAGAACAAGUCUCAUAAUCAAGCUCCAAAGUCCAAUGCUCCUUAUCAUCGUCCACUCUCAGAGGUGACUUGCAACAAGUGUCAGCAGAAAGGUCACUAUGCUAACAAGUGUUUCAACCAAAGGCGCCUUCCGCCUCCUCCUCCUGUGAGAUCUUCCAGCAAUGCAGUGGUCAAGCAUAAUCCCAAGUCUGCAAAGGUGAAUAUGAUGAAUGCAGCUCAAGCGGAGGAAUCUACUGAUGUGAUAAUGGGUAAUCUCUCAGUUAAUGAUAUUCCUGCAAAAGUUUUAUUUGAUACUGGUGCAUCGCAUUCUUUCAUGUCAUACCCAUUUGCAUCGAAGCACAAUUUUGACAGAAAGGAAUUAUCUAGAGCAAUGCAAGUUAUUUCUCCGGCUAAGCGUUUGAGCUCUAGCAUGAUGGUUCCAAAUGUUGGUAUCAAGAUGGGCGACUAUAAAUUUCUGGCCAAACCAAUUGUUCUUGGUGACUCGGAUAUUGAUCUAAUUCUCGGGAUGGACUGGCUUUCUAAGCACAAGGCUCAACUUGAUUGUGCUGCCAGAAAAUUCAAUUGA
Molecule: ribosomal RNA, 936 nt
Filed under: Triticum aestivum (bread wheat)
Lineage: Eukaryota; Viridiplantae; Streptophyta; Magnoliopsida; Poales; Poaceae
Description: partial small subunit ribosomal RNA
Source: RNAcentral